RNAcentral lists this non-coding RNA (31 nucleotides) under Mus musculus (house mouse). The record is from RNAcentral. Lineage: Eukaryota; Metazoa; Chordata; Mammalia; Rodentia; Muridae.
CCCAAGUCUGUAAUGUUGUAAAGAUGGUUUC